CGGGUGGAACUUAAGGCAUAUCAAUGAAGCGGAGGAAAAGAAACCAUCAGUGAUUGCCCCUAGGUAACGGCGAGUGAAGCGGCAACAGCUCAAAUUUGAAAUCCGGCCUUGGUCAGAGUUGUAAAUUGUAGAGGGAUCCUUCUGGUGAAAGCCUUCCGAGUUCCUUGGAACAGGACGCUUUAGAGGGUGAGAGCCCCGUACGGGUUGGACACUAAGCCUGUGUAAAGCUCCUUCGACGAGUCGAGUAGUUUGGGAAUGCUGCUCUAAAUGGGAGGUAAAUUUCUUCUAAAGCUAAAUACCGGCCAGAGACCGAUAGCGCACAAGUAGAGUGAUCGAAAGAUGAAAAGUACUUUGAAAAGAGGGUUAAAUAGCACGUGAAAUUGUUGAAAGGGAAGCGUUUAUGACCAGACCUUUGUCUGGCGGAUCAUCCGGUGUUCUUCACCGGUGCACUUCGCCAGGCUCAGGCCAGCAUCGAUUUCUGUAGGGGGAUAAAGACCAUGGGAACGUAGCUCUCUUCGGGGAGUGUUAUAGCCCUAGGUGUAAUACCUCUACGGGGAUCGAGGUUCGCGCUUCUGCAAGGAUGCUGGCGUAAUGGUCAUCAACGACCCGUCUUGAAACACGGACCAAGGAGUCGAACAUUUAUGCAAGUGUUUGGGUGUUAAACCCUCACGCGUAAUGAAAGUGAACGGAGGUGAGAGCCCUGGUGCAUCAUCGACCGAUCCUGAUGUAUUCGGAAGGAUUUGAGUAAGAGCAUAACUGUUCGGACCCGAAAGAUGGUGAACUAUGCGUGGAUAGGGUGAAGCCAGAGGAAACUCUGGUGGAGGCUCGCAGCGGUUCUGACGUGCAAAUCGAUCGUCCAAAUCCUGCCAUGGGGGCGAAACGCCUUAUCGAAACCCCUCUUCCCGGC
Molecule: ribosomal RNA, 907 nt
Filed under: Eutypella sp.
Lineage: Eukaryota; Fungi; Ascomycota; Sordariomycetes; Xylariales; Diatrypaceae
Description: eukaryotic LSU rRNA
Rfam family: Eukaryotic large subunit ribosomal RNA
Source: RNAcentral